This 246-nucleotide unclassified non-coding RNA is filed under the name Hevea brasiliensis (rubber tree). Lineage: Eukaryota; Viridiplantae; Streptophyta; Magnoliopsida; Malpighiales; Euphorbiaceae. The record is from RNAcentral.
GCCAGUGAUGACUCCCUCGGUUACCCUGAAAUAGACGAAGAUGCAUUGUUGAAUACACAGUGCCCUAGAAAUUUGGAGCUGAGAUGGCAGACGGAAGUUAGCUCUAGCAUUUACGCUACUCCCUUGAUCGCUGAUAUUAACACUGAUGGAAAACUUGAUAUAGUAGUUCCUUCUUUUGUUCACUACCUUGAAGUUCUUGAAGGUUCUGAUGGAGACAAAAUGCCUGGCUGGCCUGCCUUCCACCAG